Molecule: ribosomal RNA, 460 nt
Filed under: uncultured bacterium
Lineage: Bacteria
Description: partial 16S ribosomal RNA
Rfam family: Bacterial small subunit ribosomal RNA
Source: RNAcentral
CCUACGGGUGGCAGCAGUGAGGAAUAUUGGUCAAUGGACGAGAGUCUGAACCAGCCAAGUAGCGUGAAGGAUGACUGCCCUAUGGGUUGUAAACUUCUUUUAUAUGGGAAUAAAAUGUUCCACGUGUGGGAUUUUGUAUGUACCAUAUGAAUAAGGAUCGGCUAACUCCGUGCCAGCAGCCGCGGUAAUACGGAGGAACCGAGCGUUAUCCGGAUUUAUUGGGUUUAAAGGGAGCGUAGGUGGAUUGUUAAGUCAGUUGUGAAAGUUUGCGGCUCAACCGUAAAAUUGCAGUUGAAACUGGCAGUCUUGAGUACAGUAGAGGUGGGCGGAAUUCGUGGUGUAGCGGUGAAAUGCUUAGAUAUCACGAAGAACUCCGAUUGCGAAGGCAGUUCACUGGACUGCAACUGACACUGAGGCUCGAAAGUGUGGGUAUCAAACAGGAUUAGAUACCCGAGUAGUC